Long non-coding RNA from Hippopotamus amphibius kiboko, 2750 nucleotides. RefSeq lists it as uncharacterized. NCBI's taxonomy places the organism in Eukaryota, Metazoa, Chordata, Mammalia, Artiodactyla, Hippopotamidae. The record is from RefSeq and is a predicted model, not a curated record. The transcript has 3 exons.
GGUAGAAGGUGGAGUUGAGCAGCUCUUCCAGCCUGCGCGGAACGUCGUUCUCCCGGUAGUACUCCAUCGCCUGCUGCUUCAGCUUCUGCAGCUCUCUAGUGGUCCCACAGCUGCGGCCGCCGCCUUCUUCCCCCAUGAUGGAGAGUGUUGGCGUGUACGGAUUCUGUGGGUGUACAGCAAAGAACAAAAUGAAGUGUGAUUCAAAGUGGGAAAUAACCGCUUCAGGCUUUGGGGAUCCCGAGAUGUGAGAGGCACAGAGAAGGUGGACAGGUCAGUCCAACGCUGUCAUGUCUCACAGUGGGUGCUGCGGUAAGGUGUGUUGCCAUCCUGCACCCCCCUCCCCCCCCGCCCUGAGGCCCCAGGUUUCUUCCCAUGCGGUCAAGAUGGCAAGUGACUCAGGCGAACCAAUGUGCAGCCACAAAGCAGCCAACAGAUAUUUAUUUAGCAUCUGUUCUAGACAUGAGAAUACAGCAGUGAAUAAAAUAAAUUCCUGUCCUUGUGGAGCUUACAUUCUUGUGUGUGUGUGAGAAAAUCUUAACAAAUAUGUCAAAUGAUAAAUAAUGCAGAGGAAAAAUAAAGGUGAAUGGGGGAUAGGGAGUGAUGGGGUUAGAACUGAAAUAAGGAGUCCAGGGAGGCCUCACUGAGAAGGGGACAUCUGAACAGCAACCUGAGGAGGUGAGUGAUCAAGCCAUGUGGAUAUGUGGGGCAGGAGCAUCCUGGGCAGAGGAACAGUGAGAGCAAAGGUCCUGAGGUAGGUGUUGCCUUGCAUGUUAGAGGUCCAGAAAGGAGUCCACAUAGCUGGGAAAUGAGGCCAGAGAGAGCCUCGUAGGCCACAGUCUAGGAUUCCAGCUUGUCCUCUGAGACAGGAAGUGAGAGUCUUAAGUGGCAGAAUGGCAUGGUCUAACUUACAUUUUUAAAGGAGCUCCAUGGCCAUGUUGAGAAGAGAUUUUGAUGGGGAGUGAGGUAGGCAGGGAGACCAGUUAGGAAGCUGUUGUGCGGUACAGAUGGGAGACAGUGCGGAUUUAGAUUAGGGCGAAGGGUGGAGGUGGUGAGAAGCGAGCAGAUGUUGGAGUGGGAGGCUCCAGGGAUUCUGGCACCUGGAUGUGGGAUGUAAAAGAGAAAAGUAAGAAAGAUACUGGCAUCUUUGGCUCUAGCAACUGGAAGGAUGAAGUUACCAGUUACUAAGGUGCAGAUGGCUGGAGAAGGGGGAGGGGAGGGGGCCUGUUUAUCAGAGUACCCAUUACACGUGCAAGUGGAAGUGGGGGGGCUUGGACUAGAAAUAUCGCAUGGGAGUCAUCAGCACAUUGGUGAUGUUUAAAGCCGAAAAACUGGAAGAGACUCCCUCAAGGAGAGAGUGUCGACGGAAAAGAGAUGUCUGCGGACUAAAGCCUCAGUCGCUCCCACAUUUAGAGCUCGUGGAGAAGAGAAGCAAGAAAUGGAAAAGUCUGAGAUGCUGUGCCAGUGAAGGAAGAGGAAAAGCACAGGCUCUGGAAGUCAAAUGAGAAGGUUUUUCCUGGAGGAGGGGAGUCUGCUACGGCGAGAGGUGCUGAAUGGCCAUGGCUGAUGAGCACUGAGAACUGACACGUAUUCAUGCUCUUUGUGGCCACAGCAGUGGCGGAAACACGGGCGGGUUUCACUCCUGAGUCAUCUCACAGGUCGGGUGCAACCCGCAUCCCUCCCCAGGUGAUCACAGCAACUGUUCUCUGCACUAGUCUCCAACUCCACCAUGGUCCUCCCAUCUCCAUCGUGGUCCCUAAAAUGACAAAACGAGUCUCUUCUUUGAUAUUUCUGUGUCGACAAGGGUCUUCCUAAGAUGUUUGUCAAAAUUCAGAAACUGUAUUGGUUUUCCUUGGUUUUCUGCAUUUUGCUAAUUAAUAGAUAUUUGUUUAAUUUUAAUGCAACUGAUCCAAUACAACCUAUUUCUACCACUUAACCACAUAUUAAUUAUUUCUAAACGUGUUUGAUCACAUACAAAUUCCCUCAGGAGGUACAUUUCUAAUACACAUAUUAUUUAAUAUAAUGAUUUCCCUCAUGUUGUCACUGUUCUCUGGAUCAUUCCUACCCAUCCUGGGUAACAUGUGAUGGAGAUCAGUUCUGCCCUGUGUGAUGGAGAUCAGUUCUGCCCUGUGUGCUGGGGAUGGGAGUGUGGCGGAUCUGGGAAGAAGUGGAGCCAUAUAUGUAAGAGGAGUUUGGAGGGUCCCCAGGUGGCUGAUGGACAUUUGAUCGUGGAAAGGAUGGCAAAAGGAGAAUCUUGAAGCUGGGAAAAUGCAAGUGAGUUUGGAACCAGUGAAUAACCACUGUGGGAGGAAUAUAGAUUCAUGGGACGCAGGGUUUGGGCUGCCCAAGGUAGAGCUCUCUGUGAAGAACAGGAAAAGUCAGGAGUCCCCGAAUCAGGGGGGUCCUUUCUGUGGAUCUGUCCCAGAGGGCGGUGAACUCUGGAGACACCCAGAGAGAUAAGAGGUGAGAGCACCCAGGCAGUGAGGGCUGCGAAGGGUUAAGAGACCAGGGCAAGGUACAGACCCAGGAGGGGUUGCUGGCAGGUGUGACUGUCCCUCCAGGAGGCACACUGGGUCAUGGUGGGGUGACCUCUCCACCAUUUGCUCUCCAUUAUUUUUCUUUGUGUUUAAUUUCUAUCUUAUUAAAAUAAAUUUUCAUGUUCACACUCACCAAUUGAACAGAACCAUGAUUUACAGAUCACGUAUUGCCACAUUCCCUGCUCUAACAUUUCCCAUCUCUGACAGCUGCAGUUU